Non-coding RNA from Pelobates cultripes (western spadefoot toad), 1060 nucleotides. The record is from the annotation of a GenBank genome assembly. Lineage: Eukaryota; Metazoa; Chordata; Amphibia; Anura; Pelobatidae.
GUGAAUAUAGCCCUCCGUUCGGUGGUUAUAGUAGACGAAUUCCCAAUUGUAAAUCCAAUAGUGUUCCUGGAUAAUUCCCACAGUAAAACACACGAACUCCCAAACAGCAUACGUAGUCAGAAUAAGGGUACAAAGAUGAACUCAGGUUUAAUGACAGGCAUGCUCUUUUUAUGGAAUUCAGCCCAUGCAAGGGAGCCUCCCAUAUAAUUAGCCAUACAUCCAAUCCUAACAAUAUACAUACUGUACAUCUCCUCCCCUCAGAUAACCAUUAAGCACAAUUAAAACGUACCAGAAAUUCCCCAAAGUUUGGAUGUACCCCAAGGACUUGGUGUCCCCAGAUAGCUAUUGUCUGGGAGACCAACAUAUUAAAAUCUCAGGCCAUUCGGUUCAGCCGUUCGGGAGAUAUAGGACUUAGAAGUUUUGACCGACUGCACGGGCAAAGUAGCCGAAAACAGUACCAUUAAUUCUGGCCCUGCAGUCGGUCUUAGAUCGCAUGAAAAACCUCCCGAACGGCUGGCCAUCCAGCUACCAUCCUUGGUUCGCUGGAUUCCCCAUCUGUUGGUAAGUCUUUCUACCGAACGCCCGGUCGUUCGGUAGUUUGGAAGGGGUUUUACCGAAGGUCUGGAGGCUUCAGCGGUGUUCGCCUGUUUGAGUGUCUGUUUUCAGUUCCAGACAUUCAAUGGCAGACACCGCUGUUCGGGAGCUAAAAUGGCCGCGAACACGAGGAAGUCCCGAAAUGGCGGCGAGACCUGCCGUUCGUGCAAAACUUCUGCCGAACGUAAUCAAGCCAGCAAGGGGGUACAGUCUGUAUAAAGGGGUGACAGGCGGGGUCGGCAUUCGGUAGUUUUACCUACCGAAUGCCAUAGGGGAACAUUGCUAUAAACACAAAUACAAAGAGGGCAUAUACAGUUAAAUAAAAAGGCAUUUCUUCACACCACUCCUCUUUUGGUUGUUUCUGGACAGGAGGAGUACGAAGUCUUCUCCAUCAUUGAUUCCAGGUUUUCUCGUGGUUCCUUACAGUAUUUGGCUGAUUGGAGGGGGUAUGGGCCUGGGUUCUUGG